RNAcentral lists this ribosomal RNA (481 nucleotides) under uncultured bacterium. RNAcentral describes it as "partial 16S ribosomal RNA". It matches the Rfam family "Bacterial small subunit ribosomal RNA", at positions 28 to 507 of the family's 1533-position model. The record is from RNAcentral.
GACGAACGUUGGCGGCGUGCUUAAUACAUGCAAGUCAACUGAAGCAGUGGUAGCAAUAUCGCUGUGGAGGUGGCGCACGGGUGAGUAACACGUAGGUAAUCUGCCUUCAGGUCUGGCAUAACUCCGGGAAACCGGGGCUAAUAGCAGAUGAUGCAGCGGCUCGACAUCGAGACAGCUGUUAAAGCUAUGGCGCCUGAAGAUGAGCCUGCGUCUGAUUAGCUAGUUGGCGGGGUAACGGCCCACCAAGGCAACGAUCAGUAGCUGGUCUGAGAGGAUGAUCAGGCACACUGGAACUGAGACACGGUCCAGACUCCUACGGGAGGCAGCAGUAAGGAAUAUUGCUCAAUGGGAGAAAUCCUGAAGCAGCAACGCCGCGUGAGGGACGAAGGGCUUUUGCUUGUAAACCUCUGUAGUGAGAGAAAAAAAUCCCAAUCUUUGGGACAUGAUGGUAUCUCAAAAGUAAGCCCCGGCUAACUACGUG